Molecule: long non-coding RNA, 3086 nt
Organism: Mustela erminea (ermine)
Lineage: Eukaryota; Metazoa; Chordata; Mammalia; Carnivora; Mustelidae
Exons: 4
Source: RefSeq, a predicted model, not a curated record
GUCCUCUGAUUCUCUUUAACUGAACUGCAUUUGAUUCUGUGGUUGUCCCUCCAAUGGCCAGGCAGGAGGAAAGGCACUGUGCAGGUAAAAUAUACAUUUUUUUCCUGGAUCCCGAUGUACAAGUUAUUCUUUAUGCUAAACCACCAAAUAAAAGCUCACUCUUUCAUGCCUGUGAGGAGGCAGCUGGAGAGAGACAGCAAACUUCAAGGCCCUGCAAAUAGAGCAAGAAGCAAUUUUCUUAGGGGGCAUGUUACCUGGUCUUCUUGAAGAGUAACUGACAUCGACUGGUAAUCUGUGGGAUUACUUUGCACCAGAAAUGUUUCUCCCCUGAUUAGACAGCGCGGAAACUCUUGCAGAAGUCCACAAGGGUGGGCCUCAUCUAAUCAAUUGAAGACCUUCAGAGCAAUAGCUGAGGCUCCCCAAUGAAGAAGAAAUUCUGCCUCAAGACUGCAACGUAGAAAUCCCAUCUGAAUUUCCAGCCUGCCCCUGUGGAAUUUGGAGUCAAGACUGCAACAUCAACUCUUCCCUGAAUUUCCAGACUGCAGGCAUGCCCUACAGAUUUUGGACUUGUUAAUCCCCAUAGAUGUGUGAGCUAAUUCCUUAAAUCUGUGUAUGUGUCUGGGUGUGUGUAUAUUAGUUUGAUUUUUCUGGAGAACACUGACAAAUACAAGCCCUGAGAGACAAGAAGGGCAGUUUCUUUUCCCAUUUUACAGAUGGCUAAAUAGAGGUACAGUAAGCUUAGGCCAUUAACCUAAGGCUCCCUGCUGAGUAUUUGAGACUGGAAGGAAGCAAGGUCAUUGGCCUUCUAACUCCCAGCUUUUAAAAUGGAAGCUACUGCUUGGUAUAUUGUCCUUCCAGUAGCCAAGAGCUCAACCAUCUGGAAGGGACAUUUGAACAACAUUUCCUCUCUCUGGCAUUGUAUUGGGUCUGGAUGCUAAGCCAGGUGACACCAAUGGGCUUUGAAGAUCCACAUACAUAUUUAACAACCACUGUUUCAAUGGCUUGCUUCAGAGGAGAUAUAAGCCUUCCCUUGAACAAAACAAUCACCUCACUGUAAAUGUGUACAGGAACAUCAAACCAUCAGUAAGCUGAAAGAUUUUUAUCCUUUGCAGUCAGUAAUGAAAGCCUGGAAAGGAUUUCUCUUGAGAUAUUCUGGUUUUGAUGGAUUUUCCUUUGUUUACAAUGAACCUGGGACUUAAAUAUUACAGCCUAUCCUUGCCUGACUGAAAUAACUGACCCACAAUAUCUGGAACAAUAACCUGGGUAUUAUUUGAAGCAUACUGGUCCAAACUUUGACUCUGUUUCACACUGGGUGUAAAAUUAAAUGCAGAACAAUUACAAGUUAGUGACUCCCUAUCCAGUGGGUUUUGGAUUCUCACAGCUUUGGAGGGGGAGGAGAAGUGCUCCACAUGCUUGGGUGAGAAAGCCCGCUCUCAGUGGUUUAGGUCAAGACAUGAUCAUCUUACCAUGAGCGAGUUUCUCUUUGAUGCCUGGGCUGAGCUGUCCCCUCCUGCCAAGAGCAGAGUUAAACGCAACAACCUGAGGGUAGGUUUGGGCAUAAUGGUGUCAUUUCUCUGCUCAUAUAUCAAAAAAUCAUGGGAGUCUGAAAUUCACUGUAGAGGCUGCUACCUACAAGGGAGUUAAGAUGCCACGAAUAGCAAAGCUUAUGUAUGUGGUCUUGUACAAGCUCCGUUACAGUCUAUGCCUCAUUUUGCUCAUCUGUGAAAUGGGAAUAAUACUUGUUUCACAGGAUUGAUAAGACGAUUAAAAACACUUAAAAUUAGUCAGUGGCCUUUUCUGAAUAUCAAACUUGGGCCAGCACUGCGUCAAUCAUUGAGGAUUCCUUAUCUUGGUUAAAUGUCACAAGUAUUCUAUAAAGGGGUGUGGUACAGUUAUUGGUGCUGUUUUAAAAUGAGGGAAUUGUACUUAGCAGGUUAAGUGCCUUUUCCGUUGUCACUUAGUGAGUUAACAGCAGAUAGGACCCUGACCUCAAUCAAUCACUGGGUGCUCAGGGCAGCUCAGUUUUAUCCUCCUUGAUGCUGGUCUUCACCCCUUUCCUUUUUUGCUCCUCUUAGGGUCAGGGUCUCAAAUGGACUUCUAACCAGAAAGAUCAGAGGGGAUGCAGUGUUUCAGCUUGGGCUAAUGGGCUCUCCUUGAGGCUGGACUGAAAGAAACUGAAGAUCCUUCCAUGUUGAAACAAGGGGAGAAUGGGUCUAAUGCAAAGAGAAAUAAAAUCAUUUGCUUCUGUGAGUGCCACUGUUAUCCUGUGUUGCUAAGAAAUUAUAAGCUGCUGGAGGUAAGGCAGUUAACUUGCAGUAGACUCCUGGGUUUUAUGUUAAACAAAUGAUUUUUGAUGAGGAAGUUUGUAGUUUCCUCUGACGAUAAUCUGCCCUGUUCAUUGCUUGUCUCAUUGUCAAAUUCAGCUUGCAGGGCUUUGUGAAUUCUCAUGAAAAGCUUUCUUUCCAGGCAGUGAGAAAGUUUAAGGUCAGAAGAAGGACACAGUGCUGAGAAAGUAAAAGCUCACGGGAUUUGUUGAGUGAUGAGACCCUCUCUGGCUCAUAGAAAAAUAGAAAGCCUUUUCUUGCUGUCAAACUUAAAAUUUAUCAAGGCAAGUGGAAAACAAACACAGGAAAAAUUAUUCCAAAAGCACUAUGCUUUCAGGCUUCCCAUUCCAUUGACGAUGAAAUCGGCACCCAAGGGGGUAGGAGGAAAGGAGCCACGGAGAAUAUAUAGGAGAUUGGACCAGAGUGUGCACUGAAGGAAAAGGCAUUGUUGUCCUCCUGGUUCAAUCCAUUGUGUUGAAGAGGUCGUGCUGAUGAUUUCAGCCAAUAAAUAGUGAAUGUCUACAUAAUGAGUGGUAAGCCCAGCUCUGUAUCCAGGCAUCCGUAUGCUGAGUAACGUUCUCCCAAGGGCAUGGCUGGCUAAUUGUCUGGAGCCUGGAUGAAGAGAGAGAGGAUUAUAUUACAUGCUCCGGCAUAUUACAUUAAGCUGAGUCCUGAUUCAGGGCCAAUAUUUUUGUUCAGUGAUGCUUGUUGCCUCAGAUCUCUCCCUGGUGGAGUUUUAUCUCCCUGAGGAAACAUGGUGAU